This 1535-nucleotide ribosomal RNA is filed under the name uncultured bacterium. RNAcentral describes it as "16S ribosomal RNA". It matches the Rfam family "Bacterial small subunit ribosomal RNA". The record is from RNAcentral.
AGAGUUUGAUCCUGGCUCAGGACGAACGCUGGCGGCGUGCCUAACACAUGCAAGUCGAACGGAGAAUUUCAAUAAGCUUGCUUAGAGAAAUUUUUAGUGGCGGGGCGGACGGGUGAGUAACGCGUGGGUAACCUACCCAUAAACCCGGGACAACCCUUGGAAACGAGGGCUAAUACCGGAUAAUCUUAAAGCUUGGCAUCAAGUCUUAAGAAAAGGUGGCCUCUGAAUAUGCUACCGAUUAUGGAUGGACCCGCGUCUGAUUAGCUAGUUGGUGGGGUAAAGGCCUACCAAGGCGACGAUCAGUAGCCGGCCUGAGAGGGUGAACGGCCACACUGGGACUGAGACACGGCCCAGACUCCUACGGGAGGCAGCAGUGGGGAAUCUUCCGCAAUGGACGAAAGUCUGACGGAGCAACGCCGCGUGUAUGAUGAAGGUCUUCGGAUUGUAAAGUACUGUCUUUGGGGAAGAAUGAUGUGCUUGAAAAUAUUGAGUGCAUAUGACGGUACCCAAGGAGGAAGCCCCGGCUAACUACGUGCCAGCAGCCGCGGUAAUACGUAGGGGGCAAGCGUUGUCCGGAAUUAUUGGGCGUAAAGGGCGCGUAGGCGGGUAUUUAAGUCUGGUGUGAAAGAUCAGGCUCAACCCUGAGAGUGCAUCGGAAACUGGGUAUCUUGAGGACAGGAGAGGAAAGUGGAAUUCCUAGUGUAGCGGUGAAAUGCGUAGAUAUUAGGAGGAACACCAGUGGCGAAGGCGACUUUCUGGACUGUAACUGACGCUGAGGCGCGAAAGCGUGGGGAGCAAACAGGAUUAGAUACCCUGGUAGUCCACGCCGUAAACGAUGAGUGCUAGGUGUCGGGGGUUAUCGACCCCCUCGGUGCCACAGCUAACGCAAUAAGCACUCCGCCUGGGGAGUACGGUCGCAAGACUGAAACUCAAAGGAAUUGACGGGGGCCCGCACAAGCGGUGGAGUAUGUGGUUUAAUUCGACGCAACGCGAAGAACCUUACCAAGGCUUGACAUCCCCAGCUAUAGAAAUAUGGUCUUAUAGGUUUAACAUCUAUACACGGAGACAGGUGGUGCAUGGUUGUCGUCAGCUCGUGUCGUGAGAUGUUGGGUUAAGUCCCGCAACGAGCGCAACCCCUACAGCCAGUUGCCAGCACAUAAAGGUGGGAACUCUAGCAGAACUGCCGUUGACAAAACGGAGGAAGGUGGGGAUGACGUCAAAUCAUCAUGCCCCUUAUGUUCUGGGCUACACACGUGCUACAAUGGCCAGUACAGACGGAAGCGAAGCCGCGAGGUGGAGCAAAUCCGAGAAAGCUGGUCUCAGUUCGGAUUGCAGGCUGCAACUCGCCUGCAUGAAGUCGGAAUCGCUAGUAAUCGCAGGUCAGCAUACUGCGGUGAAUACGUUCCCGGGCCUUGUACACACCGCCCGUCACACCACGAAAGUCUGCAACACCCGAAGCCGGUGAGGUAACCCGUAAGGGAGCUAGCCGUCGAAGGUGGGGCCGAUAAUUGGGGUGAAGUCGUAACAAGGUAACC